GCAAGUCGAACGGAUUUGAGGGGCUUGCUCCUCAAGUUAGUGGCGCACGGGUGAGUAACGCGUAGAUAAUCUGCCUGAUGAUCCGGGAUAACACUUCGAAAGGGGUGCUAAUACCGGAUAAGCCCACGGGGUCUUUGGACUCUGCGGGAAAAGGGGGGGACCUUCGGGCCUUCUGUCAUCAGAUGAGUCUGCGUACCAUUAGCUAGUUGGUAGGGUAAUGGCCUACCAAGGCUACGAUGGUUAGCUGGUUUGAGAGAAUGAUCAGCCACACUGGAACUGAGACACGGUCCAGACUCCUACGGGAGGCAGCAGUGGGGAAUUUUGCGCAAUGGGCGAAAGCCUGACGCAGCAACGCCGCGUGAGUGAUGAAGGCUUUCGGGUCGUAAAGCUCUGUCGAGGGGAAAGAAGUGUAUUGUGGCUAAUAUCCACGAUACUUGACGGUACCCCUAAAGGAAGCACCGGCUAACUCCGUGCCAGCAGCCGCGGUAAUACGGGGGGUGCAAGCGUUGUUCGGAAUUAUUGGGCGUAAAGAGCGUGUAGGCGGUUUGCUAAGUCUGAUGUGAAAGCCCUGGGCUCAACCCAGGAAGUGCAUUGGAAACUGUCAGACUUGAAUACGGGAGAGGGCAGUGGAAUUCCUAGUGUAGGAGUGAAAUCCGUAGAUAUUAGGAGGAACACCGGUGGCGAAGGCGGCUGCCUGGACCGAUAUUGACGCUGAGACGCGAAAGCGUGGGUAGCAAACAGGAUUAGAUACCCUGGUAGUCCACGCCGUAAACGAUGAGAACUAGGUGUUGCGGGUAUUGACCCCUGCAGUGCCGCAGCUAACGCAUUAAGU
Molecule: ribosomal RNA, 832 nt
Filed under: bacterium SCGC AAA018-J14
Lineage: Bacteria
Description: SSU rRNA
Rfam family: Bacterial small subunit ribosomal RNA
Source: RNAcentral